RNAcentral lists this ribosomal RNA (447 nucleotides) under uncultured bacterium. RNAcentral describes it as "bacterial SSU rRNA". It matches the Rfam family "Bacterial small subunit ribosomal RNA", at positions 330 to 794 of the family's 1533-position model. The record is from RNAcentral.
CCCAGACUCCUACGGGAGGCAGCAGUAGGGAAUCUUUCACAAUGGGCGAAAGCCUGAUGGAGCAACGCCGCGUGCAGGAUGAAGGCCUUCGGGUUGUAAACUGCUUUUAUAAGCGAGAAAUAUGAUGGUAACUUAUGAAUAAGGAUCGGCUAACUACGUGCCAGCAGCCGCGGUAAUACGUAGGGGGCGAGCGUUAUCCGGAUUUACUGGGUGUAAAGGGAGCGUAGACGGCGGCGCAAGUCUGAAGUGAAAGCCCGUGGCUCAACCGCGGAACCGCUUUGGAAACUGCGAGGCUGGAGUGCUGGAGAGGUAAGCGGAGUUCCUGGUGUAGCGGUGAAACGCGUAGAUAUCAGGAGGAACACCGGUGGCGAAGGCGGCUUACUGGACAGUGACUGACGUUGAGGCUCGAAAGCGUGGGGAGCGAACAGGAUUAGAUACCCGGGUAGG